CCUCCGGGAGGCUGCAGUGAGGAAUAUUGGUCAAUGGGCGAGAGCCUGAACCAGCCAAGUCGCGUGAGGGAGUACUGCCCUAUGGGUUGUAAACCUCUUUUGUCGGGGAGCAAAAGCCGGACGUGUCCGGCUGUGAGAGUACCCGAAGAAAAAGCAUCGGCUAACUCCGUGCCAGCAGCCGCGGUAAUACGGAGGAUGCGAGCGUUAUCCGGAUUUAUUGGGUUUAAAGGGUGCGCAGGCGGAAUGUCAAGUCAGCGGUAAAAUUUCGGGGCUCAACCCCGUCGUGCCGUUGAAACUGGCGUUCUUGAGUGAGCGAGAAGUAUGCGGAAUGCGUGGUGUAGCGGUGAAAUGCAUAGAUAUCACGCAGAACUCCGAUUGCGAAGGCAGCAUACCGGCGCUCAACUGACGCUCAUGCACGAAAGCGUGGGUAUCGAACAGGAUUAGAUACCCUGGUAGUC
This 458-nucleotide ribosomal RNA is filed under the name uncultured bacterium. RNAcentral's name for it is "partial 16S ribosomal RNA". It matches the Rfam family "Bacterial small subunit ribosomal RNA", at positions 338 to 795 of the family's 1533-position model. The record is from RNAcentral.